Long non-coding RNA from Argiope bruennichi, 525 nucleotides. RefSeq lists it as uncharacterized. The transcript is spliced from 3 exons. The record is from RefSeq and is a predicted model, not a curated record. Lineage: Eukaryota; Metazoa; Arthropoda; Arachnida; Araneae; Araneidae.
CGUCGCCAGUCAUGCGGCGAUUAAGCCUUGACUAUCCACGCCGUCAGCGCUGCUACGGAAAGUCCGCAAAUACGAGACGCGCUCGCCGCGGUGAGGUAUGCAGAACAGUGCCGCUGCGGCCGACUCCUAAAAACCGGUAACUUCGUUAGGCUUAACGGUUACGCGCAAAUUCGCACCUGUGCGUACGGUGUUCGGAAUGGGUCCACCUGCAUCGAAUACCGGUAUGGAGAAAGUUAGAGCUGCACACAGGUGCGGAAACACCCUCAACAAAAAAAUGUAUCCAUUUUGAAAUUCAAGUUUCAGUAUUAUUUUAUGACUGAUGAGCCACAUGCCAGUACACAAUAGAUAACUGAAACUGAAAAGAAACCAAGCUUUUUGUGCCUUCUCUGGGAAAUAAAAUGUUGAUUCUCAAUGAAGUAAAAGACAUUUCUUAACUAAUUUUUGAUGGAAUUUAUUGAAUUUUUCAGCUGCCAUAAAAAUUCGUGUAAAAAGAAACAUUUUAAAUAAAGCAUUCCUUUUUUCCUA